AGUGAAAGAGAUGAAGAAUAGUGUCUAUAGGUUUAAAUGGUAGAAUUACACGGCUCAAAUGAAUGUAUCAACACGAUUGAUGGAAUUAAUUAGGGUGAUUAACCAAAACAUCACAUGAAUAUUGAAUUGUUGAAAAUUUAGUGUUGGAUACUUAGUUGGUUAAUUGGCGUAGUUGUGAUACGUUGUUGAUGAAUACGAGUUCGUUUAUGUAGAUUGAAGUUGUUAGAACCAUUUGAAACGGUUGGAACGAAUCUUAGCUUAAUUAAGGAGACUUCAAGGUUUAGCAGGCGGUCAGGUGCAGGACGGUCCACGUGCGGGUUAGAGUUCCUGCAGCUUUCUACUUUUGGUGGGUCCACUUUUGCACUCGUGGAUCACUCUAUUUCAGGUGUAUACUUUUGUACAGUGCGGGAUGACCCCAUAACUUUAUUAUUUCAUUCGUAGCGUCAUAAAGGCUCCAUAGAGACUUUGUAUCAUUUUGGGCAGUGGGUACUCAUAUGGCAUAGCGAAUGACAUUUCUACUUAUGUAUACUUUAUGUUUUGA
Long non-coding RNA from Lycium ferocissimum, 541 nucleotides. RefSeq lists it as uncharacterized. The transcript is spliced from 2 exons. The record is from RefSeq and is a predicted model, not a curated record. Lineage: Eukaryota; Viridiplantae; Streptophyta; Magnoliopsida; Solanales; Solanaceae.